GAUGAACGCUGGCGGCGUGCCUAACACAUGCAAGUCGAACGGAGAUUCCGGACGGAAGUUUUCGGAUGGAAGACUGUAAUUCUUAGUGGCGGACGGGUGAGUAACGCUUGGGCAACCUGCCCUAUACAGGGGGAUAGCAGCUGGAAACGGCUGGUAAGACCGCAUAAGUCGGCGAGACCGCAUGGUUUUGCCGGGAAAUGAGCAAUCAGGUAUAGGAUGGGCCCGCGUCCGAUUAGCCAGUUGGCAGGGUAAAAGCCUACCAAAGCAACGAUCGGUAGCCGGACUGAGAGGUCGGACGGCCACAUUGGGACUGAGACACGGCCCAAACUCCUACGGGAGGCAGCAGUGGGGGAUAUUGCACAAUGGAGGAAACUCUGAUGCAGCGACGCCGCGUGAGUGAAGAAGUAUUUCGGGAUGUAAAGCUCUAUCAGCAGGGAAGAUGAUGACGGUACCUGACUAAGAAGCCCCGGCUAACUACGUG
RNAcentral lists this ribosomal RNA (481 nucleotides) under uncultured bacterium. RNAcentral describes it as "partial 16S ribosomal RNA". It matches the Rfam family "Bacterial small subunit ribosomal RNA", at positions 28 to 507 of the family's 1533-position model. The record is from RNAcentral.